Molecule: long non-coding RNA, 3175 nt
Filed under: Brassica napus (rape)
Lineage: Eukaryota; Viridiplantae; Streptophyta; Magnoliopsida; Brassicales; Brassicaceae
Description: long non-coding RNA (BNAP_LNC016990)
Source: RNAcentral
AGCAAAUUAACUUAAACUUGACAUUUGUUUUUAGAAAAUUACUGUGAUUAUUAAGCAAAGAAGGGACUGGCUAGAAUUUCUUGGUUAUCAAGAAUCAAGUCUAGAACUAGAGCUAAACUUGAAGAUAAUAUGGCUGGAAGCCAAACAUAAACUAGGCAGAGCCGCAGAGAAGGAACUAAUGCAACAGUUGUCUAGAUGAAGAAGAUAAUAUAUAUAUAUAUGGCUUGAAGUCUAGAAACUUUUGGUUAUCAAAAAGAAAAAAAAACUAGGUUUGAUGAUAAUUUGCGUAACGAUGCGAUUUGUAAUUAAAUAUCUCUUCAUGUGCGUAGCUAUAUAUCGAUAUAAUAUAGUAAUGUGUUAUGUUCAUCAGGCUGGCUAUACACUUGCAACACCUAGAAAAUACGAGGACAACUGUUGGUGAAAAGAUCACCGACAAUCAUAGAUGGAGAGGCUCCGACGAAAUAUCUGAUAGCAAUCGUUACUUCGAACCAUUAAACGGUAAGAAAUUCUCACACGUGUGUACAGCUCCAGUGAAGUAUGACCCAAACUGGACCACAACAACAACAACAAGCAAACACUCAAGCAACGUCGCUUACAUAGUCACCGGAGCUCAGCUAGAAGUGCAGAAACACGGCUCAAAAUCCGUUCUCCAUCUCCGUCUCCGUUUCACCGGAGUCUCUGAUCACUACGUCGUUCAGAAAGAUUGGGUCCAUGGACCAGGAACUUCCCAAAGAUCUGGAAUCUUCUCUUCCAUGAGCUUACCGUUGACUAGUGGGAGUGUUCAUCAUAAUAUGGUCACUAACAAAGACAAAAACGAGGUCGUUUUGGACUCUGGUGUCUACCCAAGAGGACCUCCUGUGCCGGCGAAUAACAAGAUCGUGAAAUUCGUGGAUCUUUCGCAGUUAUGUCGAGGACCUCAAAACAGUCCUGGUCAUUGGUUAGUCACGGGUGUUAGGCUUUAUUUGGAUAAAGGGAAACUUUGCUUGCAUGUCAAGUUUGCUCUGCUACAUCACCAACGCCUUCUUGGCGCAAGACAAGUCAUCCGAUCUCGAUACCGACCUCCUCCGUCACCAUCUCUACGAUCUCGGCGACCAACUGUUCACAGGCUCUUGUCUUCUCUCUACUCGCCGGCCUAAUAAGGUCAGCACAAUUUUAAGUUGUCGAUAAAGUCAGCACAACACAUUCUUUUGUUGUGUUCAUUAUUGGAGUUUGGUAUUGCAGUUUCCAGAGGCGUUCAAUGUCUUUGACGACAAAGAAACGGUCGCUUUCAAUAAUUUCUCGAUGAACUCCAAAGAUGUAAGUAAGUUUCACAGAAGCUAAACAACAUAUUGUAUGAUGAACAUUUUCAUCACUAGAAAAAGCCAUUUACAUUUUCAGGGGAUAACGGUUAUAUGCGCCAAAAGAGGAGGCGACGGGAGAGCAAAAAGCCAUAGCGAAUGGCUAAUAACAGUUCCCGAAAAGCCUGACGCCAUCAACUUCAACUUUAUUCCGAUCACAUCACUGCUCAAAGACGUCCCUGGCUCUGGUCUUUUAGCUCAUGCCAUGUCUCUCUACCUUAGAUGUAACUUCACUUACCUACUCUAACCUUAAUAUUUGACUAUUGAUGGGAGUAGUAGUUUUGAUUGAAGGAGUUAAUUUGGUAAUUUUGACAGACAAGCCGCCGUUAAUGGACCUACAAUACUUUUUGGACUUCUCUGGGCCUAGAACGUGGGCUCCCAUUCAUAACGACCUUCCGUUUGGCGCGGCGCCAAAUAUGGCUUCUGCGUAUCCAGCUCUUCAUAUCAACUUCAUGGGUCCCAAACUAUACGUUAAUACCACUCACGUACGUAUAUAUUUUACAUCCCUAGUUCUUGCUUGCAUUUUUUUGUAGUUCUUUCACAAAGUCACUUACAUUGUUAACUAAUUAUAGGUGACCACGGAGAAGAACCCAGUAACAGGAUUGCGAUUGUUCCUCGAAGGCAAGAAAUGCAAUAGGUAAAAAGUCAACCAAAGCAAAUUAACUUAAACUUGACAUUUGUUUUUAGAAAAUUACUGUGAUUAUUAAGCAAAGAAGGGACUGGCUAGAAUUUCUUGGUUAUCAAGAAUCAAGUCUAGAACUAGAGCUAAACUUGAAGAUAAUAUGGCUGGAAGCCAAACAUAAACUAGGCAGAGCCGCAGAGAAGGAACUAAUGCAACAGUUGUCUAGAUGAAGAAGAUAAUAUAUAUAUAUAUGGCUUGAAGUCUAGAAACUUUUGGUUAUCAAAAAGAAAAAAAAACUAGGUUUGAUGAUAAUUUGCGUAACGAUGCGAUUUGUAAUUAAAUAUCUCUUCAUGUGCGUAGCUAUAUAUCGAUAUAAUAUAGUAAUGUGUUAUGUUCAUCAGGCUGGCUAUACACUUGCAACACCUAGAAAAUACGAGGACAACUGUUGGUGAAAAGAUCACCGACAAUCAUAGAUGGAGAGGCUCCGACGAAAUAUCUGAUAGCAAUCGUUACUUCGAACCAUUAAACGGUAAGAAAUUCUCACACGUGUGUACAGCUCCAGUGAAGUAUGACCCAAACUGGACCACAACAACAACAACAAGCAAACACUCAAGCAACGUCGCUUACAUAGUCACCGGAGCUCAGCUAGAAGUGCAGAAACACGGCUCAAAAUCCGUUCUCCAUCUCCGUCUCCGUUUCACCGGAGUCUCUGAUCACUACGUCGUUCAGAAAGAUUGGGUCCAUGGACCAGGAACUUCCCAAAGAUCUGGAAUCUUCUCUUCCAUGAGCUUACCGUUGACUAGUGGGAGUGUUCAUCAUAAUAUGGUCACUAACAAAGACAAAAACGAGGUCGUUUUGGACUCUGGUGUCUACCCAAGAGGACCUCCUGUGCCGGCGAAUAACAAGAUCGUGAAAUUCGUGGAUCUUUCGCAGUUAUGUCGAGGACCUCAAAACAGUCCUGGUCAUUGGUUAGUCACGGGUGUUAGGCUUUAUUUGGAUAAAGGGAAACUUUGCUUGCAUGUCAAGUUUGCUCUGCUACAUCACCAACGCCUUCUUGGCGCUUCUUGACAAAAAAAAAAUAUCAAAAAGAUUAGAAUAAAUUUGUUUGUUCUCCUUAUUGAUUUUGAUGUGUGUAUAUAUGGAGGCUGCGAGACAGGGAACCAACCUCUCUCUUCUGUUUAGAGAGAGAGAAAAAACCUCUCUUGUUCUUCACACU